GACGAACGCUGGCGGCGUGCUUAACACAUGCAAGUCGAACGGAAAGGCCCUGCUUUUGUGGGGUGCUCGAGUGGCGAACGGGUGAGUAACACGUGAGUAACCUGCCCUUGACUUUGGGAUAACUUCAGGAAACUGGGGCUAAUACCGGAUAGGAGCUCCUGCUGCAUGGUGGGGGUUGGAAAGUUUCGGCGGUUGGGGAUGGACUCGCGGCCUAUCAGCUUGUUGGUGGGGUAGUGGCUUACCAAGGCUUUGACGGGUAGCCGGCCUGAGAGGGUGACCGGCCACAUUGGGACUGGGAUACGGCCCAGACUCCUACGGGAGGCAGCAGUGGGGAAUAUUGCACAAUGGGCGGAAGCCUGAUGCAGCAACGCCGCGUGCGGGAUGACGGCCUUCGGGUUGUAAACCGCUUUCGCCUGUGACGAAGCGUGAGUGACGGUAAUGGGUAAAGAAGCACCGGCUAACUACGUG
RNAcentral lists this ribosomal RNA (468 nucleotides) under uncultured bacterium. RNAcentral describes it as "partial 16S ribosomal RNA". It matches the Rfam family "Bacterial small subunit ribosomal RNA", at positions 28 to 507 of the family's 1533-position model. The record is from RNAcentral.